Molecule: long non-coding RNA, 375 nt
Organism: Cuculus canorus (common cuckoo)
Lineage: Eukaryota; Metazoa; Chordata; Aves; Cuculiformes; Cuculidae
Exons: 3
Source: RefSeq, a predicted model, not a curated record
AAUGCUUUCAAGUGACUUGUUUAUUCUCUCUUACUUAAAAUUUAAUUUUAUACCAGGCAGCCCUUGUGUGUUUCUGUAACUAUUUCAUCUGUUACACCUUGUCCUUUUUUACUGAAGUAGUGCUCUUAAAGGAUAUUCUUGACUUCCAAGUGCAAACAGGAACUUGAUUCACCUGUGGGAAAAGGUCCAGAUUUGCUUGUGACACUUCAUCUGCAACAUGAAGAUGAAGAAGUGGAAAACAGACCUGGAAGAAGCCCUCAAGGCCCUCUGAAACAUGGAGAUUCCUAAAUAUAUUGAAGAGUAACAGGAAGAUAAUAUCAACGCCUCUGUCUCUUUGCUGUUGCAAGCACUACAAAAUCAGAACAAACUGCAUCA